GGUGGAUAAAGUUUACGGUUCUGGCUAGUGGCGGUUGGCUUGAGCUUGCAUCUUCAAUGGAGCGUAAGAAAUUCGAGGAAAUUCUACUGCUGUGCUAGCCGUCGGAGCAAGAUUGGCUAUCCGCCUGUUCCUUCUGCUAUGGCCGCCUCUGUUUCCCUUCAGCAUCCCACCCACUGCUUCCCUUCGAACCGUCACCAGUUGAAGAGCUGCUGCCAUGAACGGUCUCCGCUACCCAAGUCGUACUCGCUUUCCUCUAAAACCCGUAAAACCUUGCGAGCCAUCAAAGCUUCGCUGGUUGAUACGGCCUCAUAUCCACUCUUUGAGCCUCCCAAGGUCGACGAAUCAUCAACCUCUGAGUUGGAGCCUGCAGACCCUGAUUUUUACAAGAUUGGGUACGCUCGAAGUGUUCGAGCUUAUGGUGUUGAAUUCAAAGAAGGGCCUGACGGAUUCGGAGUUUAUGCUUCCAAAGACGUUCAGCCACUUCGCAGAGCCAGGGUGAUCAUGGAAAUUCCUCUGGAGCUGAUGUUAACCAUAAGCCAGAAACUCCCAUGGAUGUUCUUUCCAGAUAUCAUACCAGUGGGUCACCCAGUAUUCGAUAUCAUCAAUUCCACCAAUCCAGAGAUGGAUUGGGACCUGAGGUUAGCUUGUCUUCUUCUAUUUUCCUUUGAUGUGGAGGGAAACUUUUGGCAGCUAUAUGGUGAUUUUUUACCCAGUGUGGAGGAGUGCACUAGCUUGCUUCUGGCAGCAGAGGAGGACCUCUUAGAGCUGCAAGAUCAGAAUUUGGCAUCAACCAUGAGAGAACAACGUCAGCGAGCUUUGGAAUUUUGGCAAAAGAAUUGGCACUCUGCUGCACCCCUCAAAAUAAAGCGCCUUGCUCGUGAUCCAGAGAGAUUCAUUUGGGCAAUGAGUAUGGCACAAUCACGGUGCAUCAACAUGCAAAUAAGGAUCGGUGCACUUAUUCAAGAUACAAGCAUGCUAACUCCUUAUGCUGACAUGCUAAACCAUUCCUUUCAGCCAAAUUGUUUUCUUCAUUGGCGUUUCAAGGACCGAAUGCUUGAGGUGAUGAUAAAUGCUGGCCAGCCGAUUAAAAAGGGAGAGGAGAUGACUAUCAAUUACAUGAAGGGACACAAGAAUAAUGUGUUUAUGCAAAGAUAUGGAUUUUCGUCACCUGUGAAUCCUUGGGAUGACAUCCAGUUCUCUGGAAACGCGCAGAUUCAUUUGCAUUCAUUCUUGUCAGUGUUCAAUAUUUCUGGCCUUCCUGAAGAGUAUUAUCACAACAGUCGGUUAUUAGAUGGUGUGGAUAAUUUUGUUGAUGGAGCAGUCAUAGCAGCUGCAAGAAUGCUGCCUUCUUGGUCUGAUGGGGAUGUGCCUCCAAUCCCAAGCAUGGAAAGGAAAGCUGUGAAGAAGUUGCAAGAGGAAUGCCAACAGAUACUUUCCAAAUUUCCUACAACCUCUGACCAAGACCAGAAGAUCCUAGCAGAUUCUAUGCCAUCAUCUUCGAGGACGCUUGAAGCUGCAAUCAAGUACAGAUUGAACAGGAAGUUGUUCAUACAAAAGGUUAUCCAAGCAUUGGAAAUUUAUAAAGAAAGGCUGUUGUUUUAGUCACAGUUUCAACAUUUGCGGCAUUGGAGAUAUUUCUAUUAGCUUGGCUACUUUUAUCAGAAGUGCUGCAGUUACAAGGAUUGUGGUGCAUCAAUGACGAAUGGGGAUAUCUUGGUGUAAGAUGGUCGUGGUCACGAUCUAAAGAAUAUAUGCAAAUCAAUUUUAUGUUCUUAAAAGCCCUAGACAUAUGCCUCUCCAACCUUCUUUGCACUUUGCCUCUACGAAAUCCCUUAAUGCUAUACAUACACGCGCGCGUGCGCGCACAUACACACAUAUAUGUUGCUUUUGUUUUGUUUUUUAAAAGUCACUUUUAUUAAUUAAUACCAUGUUGUAUUCAUGUGAGGUCCUUGGAUGAAAUUGAAUGAUUAAUUUUAAAAUGAUUGUCAUAUAUAUGCGUGCGUGUGUGGAUGGGUUUCGUUUUCGUGUCACUUUGCCUCUUUAACACUACUAAAUGGGCAAGUAUAACAAAUGUACCAUUUUCUUUCGCAAUAUGAGCAUGUUUUGUUU
This is an RNA transcript of Malania oleifera, 2109 nucleotides long. It is a transcript of the gene named protein PLASTID TRANSCRIPTIONALLY ACTIVE 14, with no coding region annotated. The transcript has 14 exons. Lineage: Eukaryota; Viridiplantae; Streptophyta; Magnoliopsida; Santalales; Ximeniaceae. The record is from RefSeq and is a predicted model, not a curated record.